CUGUGCAAAGGUAGCAUAAUCAUUAGUUUUUUAAUUGAAAGCUGGAAUGAAGGGUUUGAUAAGAAAAAUUCUUUUUCAAUUUUAAAAUUAAAAUUUUAUUUUUAAGUUAAAAAGCUUAGAUGUUUUAAAAAGACGAGAAGACCCUAUAGAGUUUUAUAAAAUAAAUUUUUUUAUUAUUUUAGAUUUAAAUUUAUUUAAAUAGUUAAUUUUGUUUUAUUGGGGUGAUAUAAAAAUUAGUUUAACUUUUUAUUUAUUUUUACACUAAUUAGUGAAUUUUUGAUCCUAAAGUUUAGAUUAUAAGAUAAAAUUACCUUAGGGAUAACAGCGUAAUUUUUUUUAGAGUUCUUAUUGAAAAAAAAGUUUGCGACCUCGAUGUUGGAUUAAAGUUAAAUUUUGGUGCAGAAGCUAAAAGGUUAGGUCUGUUCGACCUUUAAAACU
RNAcentral lists this ribosomal RNA (438 nucleotides) under Oedemera testaceithorax. RNAcentral describes it as "partial 16S ribosomal RNA". The stretch from base 318 to 438 matches the Rfam family "Bacterial large subunit ribosomal RNA", at positions 2473 to 2595 of the family's 2925-position model. The record is from RNAcentral. Lineage: Eukaryota; Metazoa; Arthropoda; Insecta; Coleoptera; Oedemeridae.